This 961-nucleotide ribosomal RNA is filed under the name Escherichia coli. RNAcentral describes it as "partial 23S ribosomal RNA". It matches the Rfam family "Bacterial large subunit ribosomal RNA", at positions 1961 to 2916 of the family's 2925-position model. Lineage: Bacteria; Pseudomonadati; Pseudomonadota; Gammaproteobacteria; Enterobacterales; Enterobacteriaceae. The record is from RNAcentral.
GAAAUUCCUUGUCGGGUAAGUUCCGACCUGCACGAAUGGCGUAAUGAUGGCCAGGCUGUCUCCACCCGAGACUCAGUGAAAUUGAACUCGCUGUGAAGAUGCAGUGUACCCGCGGCAAGACGGAAAGACCCCGUGAACCUUUACUAUAGCUUGACACUGAACAUUGAGCCUUGAUGUGUAGGAUAGGUGGGAGGCUUUGAAGUGUGGACGCCAGUCUGCAUGGAGCCGACCUUGAAAUACCACCCUUUAAUGUUUGAUGUUCUAACGUUGACCCGUAAUCCGGGUUGCGGACAGUGUCUGGUGGGUAGUUUGACUGGGGCGGUCUCCUCCUAAAGAGUAACGGAGGAGCACGAAGGUUGGCUAAUCCUGGUCGGACAUCAGGAGGUUAGUGCAAUGGCAUAAGCCAGCUUGACUGCGAGCGUGACGGCGCGAGCAGGUGCGAAAGCAGGUCAUAGUGAUCCGGUGGUUCUGAAUGGAAGGGCCAUCGCUCAACGGAUAAAAGGUACUCCGGGGAUAACAGGCUGAUACCGCCCAAGAGUUCAUAUCGACGGCGGUGUUUGGCACCUCGAUGUCGGCUCAUCACAUCCUGGGGCUGAAGUAGGUCCCAAGGGUAUGGCUGUUCGCCAUUUAAAGUGGUACGCGAGCUGGGUUUAGAACGUCGUGAGACAGUUCGGUCCCUAUCUGCCGUGGGCGCUGGAGAACUGAGGGGGGCUGCUCCUAGUACGAGAGGACCGGAGUGGACGCAUCACUGGUGUUCGGGUUGUCAUGCCAAUGGCACUGCCCGGUAGCUAAAUGCGGAAGAGAUAAGUGCUGAAAGCAUCUAAGCACGAAACUUGCCCCGAGAUGAGUUCUCCCUGACUCCUUGAGAGUCCUGAAGGAACGUUGAAGACGACGACGUUGAUAGGCCGGGUGUGUAAGCGCAGCGAUGCGUUGAGCUAACCGGUACUAAUGAACCGUGAGG